RNAcentral lists this ribosomal RNA (406 nucleotides) under uncultured bacterium. RNAcentral's name for it is "partial 16S ribosomal RNA". It matches the Rfam family "Bacterial small subunit ribosomal RNA", at positions 30 to 526 of the family's 1533-position model. The record is from RNAcentral.
AUUGAACGCUGGCGGCAGGCCUAACACAUGCAAGUCGAGCGCGAGGCGGACGGGGGAGAAAUGUCUCGGAGACUGCCUGAUGUAGGGGGAUAACUACUGGAAACGGUAGCUAAUAACCCAUACCCUAAGAUGUGCCCAGAUGGGGUUAGCUAGUAGGUGGGGGAAAGGCUCACCUAGGCGCCGAUCCCUAGCUGGUCGGAGAGGAUGACCAGCCACACUGGGACUGAGACACGGUCCAGACUCCUACGAGAGGCAGCAGUGGGGAAUAUUGCACAAUGGGCGAAAGCCUGAUGCAGCCAUGCCGCGUGUAUGAAGAAGGCCUUCGGGUUGUAAAGUACUUUCAGCGGGGAGGCGUUACCCGCAGAAGAAGCACCGGCUAACUCCGUGCCAGCAGCCGCGGUAAUAC